This 1613-nucleotide ribosomal RNA is filed under the name Cercopithecus erythrotis camerunensis. RNAcentral's name for it is "16S ribosomal RNA". It matches the Rfam family "Bacterial large subunit ribosomal RNA". The record is from RNAcentral. Lineage: Eukaryota; Metazoa; Chordata; Mammalia; Primates; Cercopithecidae.
GCUAACACUAGCCCUAAGCACAAAAAACACUAAUAUAAGGCCAAUACACACCAAACCAUUUACCCACAUAUAGUAUAGGCGAUAGAAAUUUUAACCUGGCGCUAUAGACACAGUACCGUAAGGGAAAGAAUAGAACUAUCUAAGCACAAAACAGCAAGAACUAGCCCCUGUACCUUUUGCAUAAUGAAUUAACUAGAAAUAAUUUCGCAAAGAGAACUAAAGCCAAAUCCCCCGAAACCAGACGAGCUACCCGAAAACAGCUAGAAGAGCGCACCCAUCUAUGUGGCAAAAUAGUGGGAAGAUUUACGGGUAGAGGUGACAAGCCUACCGAGCCUGGUGAUAGCUGGUUAUCCAAGAUAGACGGGUAGAGGUGACAAGCCUACCGAGCCUGGUGAUAGCUGGUUAUCCAAGAUAGAAUCUUAGUUCAACCUUGAGCUUACCUACAGAGCUACCUAAUCUCCUUGUAAACUCAAUUGUUAGUCUAAAGAGGGACAGCUCUUUAGACACUAGGAAAAAACCUUACAUAGAGAGUAAAAACCACAACUACCAUAGUUGGCCCAAAAGCAGCCAUCAAUUAAGAAAGCGUUCAAGCUCAACAUCAACCACUCGAAAAAAUCCCAAACAUAUAACUGAACUCCUCACACCACAUUGGAUUAAUCUAUCACUACAUAGAAGCAACAAUGUUAGUAUAAGUAACAUGAAUAUCUUCUCCACUGCAUAAGCCUAAAUCAGACCGAAAACUUCACCGAUACUUAACAGCCCAGUAUUAACAAACACAAACAAGCCAAUACUAUUCUCACUGUUAACCCAACACAGGCAUGCCCCAAGGAAGGUUAAAAAAAGUAAAAGGAACUCGGCAAACCUAAACCCCGCCUGUUUACCAAAAACAUCACCUCUAGCAUUACUAGUAUUAGAGGCACUGCCUGCCCAGUGACACACGUUUAACGGCCGCGGUACCCUGACCGUGCAAAGGUAGCAUAAUCACUUGUUCUUUAAAUAGGGACUCGUAUGAAUGGCAUCACGAGGGUUUAACUGUCUCUUACUUUCAACCAGUGAAAUUGACCUGUCCGUGAAGAGACGGACAUGAAACAAUAAGACGAGAAGACCCUGUGGAGCUUCAAUUUAUUAGUACAACUAAAAACAACACAAACCAACAGGCCCUAAACCCCUACAUCUGUGCUAAAAAUUUUGGUUGGGGCGACCUCGGAGCACAACCAAACCUCCGAAUAAUCCACGCUAAGACUAUACAAGUCAAAGCAAACUAACACUUACAAUUGACCCAAUAAUUUGAUCAACGGAACAAGUUACCCCAGGGAUAACAGCGCAAUUCUAUUCUAGAGUCCAUAUCAACAAUAGAGUUUACGACCUCGAUGUUGGAUCAGGAUAUCCUAAUGGUGCAGCAGCUAUCAAGGGUUCGUUUGUUCAACGAUUAAAAUCCUACGUGAUCUGAGUUCAGACCGGAGCAAUCCAGGUCGGUUUCUAUCUAUUCUACAUUUCUCCCUGUACGAAAGGACAAGAGAAAUAAGGCCCACUUCACAACAGCGCCCUCACUACAUAAAUGAUUUAAUCUUAAUUUAACAGAACACCACAUACCCCACCCAAGAGCAGGGUUU